UUAAGCGACUAAGCGUACACGGUGGAUGCCCUGGCAGUCAGAGGCGAUGAAGGACGUGCUAAUCUGCGAUAAGCGUCGGUAAGGUGAUAUGAACCGUUAUAACCGGCGAUUUCCGAAUGGGGAAACCCAGUGUGAUUCGUCACACUAUCAUUAACUGAAUCCAUAGGUUAAUGAGGCGAACCGGGGGAACUGAAACAUCUAAGUACCCCGAGGAAAAGAAAUCAACCGAGAUUCCCCCAGUAGCGGCGAGCGAACGGGGAGGAGCCCAGAGCCUGAAUCAGUGUGUGUGUUAGUGGAAGCGUCUGGAAAGGCGCGCGAUACAGGGUGACAGCCCCGUACACAAAAAUGCACAUAUUGUGAGCUCGAUGAGUAGGGCGGGACACGUGGUAUCCUGUCUGAAUAUGGGGGGACCAUCCUCCAAGGCUAAAUACUCCUGACUGACCGAUAGUGAACCAGUACCGUGAGGGAAAGGCGAAAAGAACCCCGGCGAGGGAGUGAAAAAGAACCUGAAACCGUGUACGUACAAGCAGUGGGAGCACGCUUCGGCGUGUGACUGCGUACCUUUUGUAUAAUGGGUCAGCGACUUAUAUUCUGUAGCAAGGUUAACCGAAUAGGGGAGCCGAAGGGAAACCGAGUCUUAACUGGGCGUUAAGUUGCAGGGUAUAGACCCGAAACCCGGUGAUCUAGCCAUGGGCAGGUUGAAGGUUGGGUAACACUAACUGGAGGACCGAACCGACUAAUGUUGAAAAAUUAGCGGAUGACUUGUGGCUGGGGGUGAAAGGCCAAUCAAACCGGGAGAUAGCUGGUUCUCCCCGAAAGCUAUUUAGGUAGCGCCUCGUGAAUUCAUCUCCGGGGUAGAGCACUGUUUCGGCAAGGGGGUCAUCCCGACUUACCAACCCGAUGCAAACUGCGAAUACCGGAGAAUGUUAUCACGGGAGACACACGGCGGGUGCUAACGUCCGUCGUGAAGAGGGAAACAACCCAGACCGCCAGCUAAGGUCCCAAAGUCAUGGUUAAGUGGGAAACGAUGUGGGAAGGCCCAGACAGCCAGGAUGUUGGCUUAGAAGCAGCCAUCAUUUAAAGAAAGCGUAAUAGCUCACUGGUCGAGUCGGCCUGCGCGGAAGAUGUAACGGGGCUAAACCAUGCACCGAAGCUGCGGCAGCGACGCUGAUGCGUUGUUGGGUAGGGGAGCGUUCUGUAAGCCUGCGAAGGUGUGCUGUGAGGCAUGCUGGAGGUAUCAGAAGUGCGAAUGCUGACAUAAGUAACGAUAAAGCGGGUGAAAAGCCCGCUCGCCGGAAGACCAAGGGUUCCUGUCCAACGUUAAUCGGGGCAGGGUGAGUCGACCCCUAAGGCGAGGCCGAAAGGCGUAGUCGAUGGGAAACAGGUUAAUAUUCCUGUACUUGGUGUUACUGCGAAGGGGGGACGGAGAAGGCUAUGUUGGCCGGGCGACGGUUGUCCCGGUUUAAGCGUGUAGGCUGGUUUUCCAGGCAAAUCCGGAAAAUCAAGGCUGAGGCGUGAUGACGAGGCACUACGGUGCUGAAGCAACAAAUGCCCUGCUUCCAGGAAAAGCCUCUAAGCAUCAGGUAACAUCAAAUCGUACCCCAAACCGACACAGGUGGUCAGGUAGAGAAUACCAAGGCGCUUGAGAGAACUCGGGUGAAGGAACUAGGCAAAAUGGUGCCGUAACUUCGGGAGAAGGCACGCUGAUAUGUAGGUGAAGUCCCUCGCGGAUGGAGCUGAAAUCAGUCGAAGAUACCAGCUGGCUGCAACUGUUUAUUAAAAACACAGCACUGUGCAAACACGAAAGUGGACGUAUACGGUGUGACGCCUGCCCGGUGCCGGAAGGUUAAUUGAUGGGGUCAGCGCAAGCGAAGCUCUUGAUCGAAGCCCCGGUAAACGGCGGCCGUAACUAUAACGGUCCUAAGGUAGCGAAAUUCCUUGUCGGGUAAGUUCCGACCUGCACGAAUGGCGUAAUGAUGGCCAGGCUGUCUCCACCCGAGACUCAGUGAAAUUGAACUCGCUGUGAAGAUGCAGUGUACCCGCGGCAAGACGGAAAGACCCCGUGAACCUUUACUAUAGCUUGACACUGAACAUUGAGCCUUGAUGUGUAGGAUAGGUGGGAGGCUUGGAAGUGUGGACGCCAGUCUGCAUGGAGCCGACCUUGAAAUACCACCCUUUAAUGUUUGAUGUUCUAACGUUGACCCGUAAUCCGGGUUGCGGACAGUGUCUGGUGGGUAGUUUGACUGGGGCGGUCUCCUCCUAAAGAGUAACGGAGGAGCACGAAGGUUGGCUAAUCCUGGUCGGACAUCAGGAGGUUAGUGCAAUGGCAUAAGCCAGCUUGACUGCGAGCGUGACGGCGCGAGCAGGUGCGAAAGCAGGUCAUAGUGAUCCGGUGGUUCUGAAUGGAAGGGCCAUCGCUCAACGGAUAAAAGGUACUCCGGGGAUAACAGGCUGAUACCGCCCAAGAGUUCAUAUCGACGGCGGUGUUUGGCACCUCGAUGUCGGCUCAUCACAUCCUGGGGCUGAAGUAGGUCCCAAGGGUAUGGCUGUUCGCCAUUUAAAGUGGUACGCGAGCUGGGUUUAGAACGUCGUGAGACAGUUCGGUCCCUAUCUGCCGUGGGCGCUGGAGAACUGAGGGGGGCUGCUCCUAGUACGAGAGGACCGGAGUGGACGCAUCACUGGUGUUCGGGUUGUCAUGCCAAUGGCACUGCCCGGUAGCUAAAUGCGGAAGAGAUAAGUGCUGAAAGCAUCUAAGCACGAAACUUGCCCCGAGAUGAGUUCUCCCUGACCCUUUAAGGGUCCUGAAGGAACGUUGAAGACGACGACGUUGAUAGGCCGGGUGUGUAAGCGCAGCGAUGCGUUGAGCUAACCGGUACUAAUGAACCGUGAGGCUUAACCUU
RNAcentral lists this ribosomal RNA (2900 nucleotides) under Escherichia coli. Its description in RNAcentral is "bacterial LSU rRNA". It matches the Rfam family "Bacterial large subunit ribosomal RNA". The record is from RNAcentral. Lineage: Bacteria; Pseudomonadati; Pseudomonadota; Gammaproteobacteria; Enterobacterales; Enterobacteriaceae.